Molecule: transfer RNA, 82 nt
Filed under: Fusarium piperis
Lineage: Eukaryota; Fungi; Ascomycota; Sordariomycetes; Hypocreales; Nectriaceae
Rfam family: tRNA
About the family: Transfer RNA (tRNA) molecules are approximately 80 nucleotides in length. Their secondary structure includes four short double-helical elements and three loops (D, anti-codon, and T loops). Further hydrogen bonds mediate the characteristic L-shaped molecular structure. tRNAs have two regions of fundamental functional importance: the anti-codon, which is responsible for specific mRNA codon recognition, and the 3' end, to which the tRNAs corresponding amino acid is attached (by aminoacyl-tRNA synthetases). tRNAs cope with the degeneracy of the genetic code in two manners: having more than one tRNA (with a specific anti-codon) for a particular amino acid; and 'wobble' base-pairing, i.e. permitting non-standard base-pairing at the 3rd anti-codon position.
Source: Rfam by way of RNAcentral
GGGGAUUUGGUGUAGGGGUAUCACGUCUGCUUUGCAUCUUCGCUUCUGCAGAAGGCCGGGGGUUCAAAUCCCUCAGUCUCCA